CACAGGGAUUGGUAGAACAGGGACGUACAUAGCAUUGGACGCGCUUAAUAAGGGAGGGGAGAUAACCGGGAAAGUUAAUAUCCGGCAGUAUGUAGAAACCAUGAGAAACAGCCGUGCUAACAUGAUCCAGGGCGACGAUCAAUACAGAGUUGUUUACUUGGCAUUACUUGAAUCAUUCCGAGGAAAAGGAAGGUCUGUAUCAACCAGGACAUUACGAGAAUUCCAGGAUCAUUCAAUCUCGGAGAAGUAGCCAAUAAAUCACCACUUUCUGCUGAAUUUCAGUCUUUCACAAGAAAUGACCAUUUCAUCAGUGCUCAAUAUCCUAUCCCAGAUUACACAGAGGACUUCCUGAGACUUGUGAAGGCUUAUCAUGCACCUACAAUUGUAUCCCUGAGACCGUUGGUGGAAAUUGAAUCGGUAUGGUCGAAAAGAAAUCCUGCAAUUUGUAUAAUGAGCAGUCUUUUAUAUUUUCAUUUACCAAUCAUUUGUCAGGUUACUGCGCAUGAUUCUGAUGUCACAAUGACGACAUGUGUAUUAUUUGUAGUUUUACGAUGUUAGACAUAAGCAUCAAAAUUUAAUAUUGAGAGAUUAAAAUUAAUGUGUACUUUUAAAUCAUGAAACAUUUAUUUAAUUAUUUGAUUCUAAUCUUCACGACAAAUGGAAUGAAUUCAGCCUCUUCAUCGUGAACUUCCCAUAUGUAUGUAUCAAUAUUCCUUCAUCACCUGCAUAUGAUGUUUGUCUCGCAACUGAUUCAAGAUGCAAGAACGUAUUCUGCCUAUGAACAAUUUUUAAAUCGAGACAAUCUACUGACAGAUAUGUUGCUGUUAGUGAGUUUCAACAGUCUCGUUUAAAGUCAGCAUUUUUAAAAUUAUAUGGUCAUUAUAAUGAUCUAAUUUGCAACUAUUGCACAACCCUUCUAUAACCAAGCGACGUAGGUUUUAUUAAAUUUAUUAAGAACUAAAGGCAAUGGCAGAUCUGAAAUUAACAAAUCACACACCACAUUACACAUGCAACAAAAUAUACAAUUACAUAAAUUCAUAUUCGUAUUUCCCUUUAAAGAAGUCAAAAUAUUCCAAUGAAAUGUACAUGAUUGACUUUAUUACUUUACUUCAAAAAGUAACAAAAUUUAUAGUCCUUGAUCAAAAAACGGUCAUUUCAUAGUAGAGAAAUAUACUGAUAAAAAAAAUAGUUCAACGUACAUAAUUAUCAACCAGUUAAUAAUAAACAUUUCAAAUCUAUACUUUAAGGUGUGGCACAACGGGCAGCUAUAUGUAUAGGUAUACUCCCUCUAAAACAAAGAGCCUGGUUCAAAAAGUGCCAAAAAUGGCCCAUGCUAAAAACAAAAACAUAUUGCUGUAGAAUAUAUUUAUAGACUUCAUACUUUCUUAAAAUACCUAUCUUUUUACAAUAUCUUGAUUAUUCAUUCUGUAAGAGGUCUUUAAAAUAGCAUAUGCGUCUGAAUUAAUUUCGACGUUCUGGUGACAAUUUAUGACGUUACUCUGACAAUUAACAGAACGUCAUUUAAAUUAAGAUCCUUGUCAGCACUUUAUAUUGUUCAUACUGAACAUAACUUAUAUAAUCAAAUAUUUCCAAAGAAAUUAUGAUAAUAAAUACUGGGUGAUUAUUACAUAAGAAAAGAAAAUCAUCGGGUAUGAAAUCGUUUUGGUACGAGUGAAAACGACACCGCUCCCAACAAGAAUAUUUCGGUAAGUGUAAACAUUACUUCAGAAUAUACUAUCAAAGUUUUCUAGACAUUAAGAUUAACAGAAACUUUAUUACACAUAUUCUUUCAGUAGCUGUAUAAAACCAUGCAAUCAAAUAGACGGAACACAAACGUGGGUUCUUUUUAUCGACACACUCGGUGUGUAUUCAUGUGUACUUUCACUUCGUCAUUAUUAUAAUGUUUCCGUACGGUGUACACACUAUGGAUCAGAGAGCGCCAGGAAAUUUUUGGUGUUGCCCCUUUAGGUCAUUCUAAUGGUAGAGAUACAUGUACAAUGUCAUUACAUUAGCAAGUAAGAGUAACACCUGCUUGUAUUGUCGAUUUCCUUUUAAAGAAAAAAAAGAAACACAGUUCAUAACAAUUAGUGUGCUUCAAUACUUAUAUCACCAGAGACAGUACCACUUAUGGUAAAACAAUGAUGAUUUAAGGAGUUGACAUGUUUAUUAGAGUUUCUAUAGAUUAACAAUCCACAACCUCCUCAAAAAAAUAAACCCGAUGUACUGAUGAAAAUAGCCCGCGAAACUUAUUUAUAGAAGAAAAAGUUAUUAAACUGGUUUUAGCUAGAGUGAGUGAAUUCCUACAAACAACCUGGCCAAUAGAAUGUUGUGAAUAGAUAUUAUUCAAUUAAUAUAGCACACCUUAGUAUUGAAAAAAUAUAGAAAAUUCAAUUAAAUAUAAAGAUCACCCUGCCACUUUUCAUUAGGUGGAAAGUUGUCUAGAGUCGUUCUUUACAUACUGAUUUUGACUACGGAUUACUCCGUUUACCUGAUCAAAAUGGCGGAUGUGACCGGUCAAAAGGAAAUGCUUCCUUGGCAUCUGAUAUCACCUCUGACCAGUGUGUCCAGGUGAACGUGGUUGUCCUCUUCUUAAAUGUUCUAUUCUUUAUAGGAUUUAUUACAUUGGUCACUCUUCGUUAUUUUCACUUUUUCAUUAGUCUAUUUACUGAAUUCAAACAAGAAAGAAAUUGGCCUUGUAAAUUGUACCAAAGAUGUUUCAAAAGCAAUACCAUUGAACAUGAAUAUUAAUUAUGAAGAUUUUUUUUAUGUCAAUCACAACGUUGUACAGUGAUACCGUAGGUGAGGGCAUUUUGGGUAGAGUGACCUCAAUCGCUAAAUUGGAGUAAGAAACGGAAAGUGGUAUCAUUGUAUGCAUACCAAUUUAACGAAUUUCGAUGUUUAAACUGUUGAAACUUCUACGAUAUGUAAUUUAUUACAUUUUUAUUGAUAUGAUGACAAUGCUCAUAUAGCAGUCUACUGAUAGGUAUGAAAUAGAAAGGUUUGGUGGGGUUCGUAGUAUCGAGUGAGUACAUUUUCUAGGUCUACAAACUAUCCUUUUUAUGUAGUGUGAAUGAGUGAGUACAUUUUCUACGUCUACAAAAUAUAUUUUCUAUGUAGUUUGAAUGAGUAAGUAUAUGUUUAGGUUUACAAAAUCUCCUUUCUAUGUGGUUUGGAUAAGUUUCUCAUAAUCACAACAGAGAUACUCAUCACAGAUUUAAAGAAAAUUUUGAAAUUGUGCUUUGUAUGUGUUUUAUACAUUUGUAUUGAUUUCGGUUGUAAACCUCACAGUAAACUUUCAAAACUAUCCCGGAUGUCUUUUUAGCGUAAUUGUUUUAUAAAUAACGGUUUAAAUCUCACACUCACAGGUUACGUUCGGUAACAUAAGUAGUGUGUGUAACUUUCUAAAUGUACAUGUAAUAAAUUUAUGCUGUUUCAUUGUACUCUAUUUCUGGAUUAAAUUCCCGAACUUUCAACUCGACAUAAACACAUGCAAUUACAAAAUGAAAGCAGUCUAGACGAAAAUACCCUACACUCCUUGUGCAACUUCAGAAAUCAACCAGUCAUUGCAGUUACUUACAUGCUUUAAGAUGGUUUACGAUUGGCAUGAGCUUCACAUUUUGUAUAGCAGAAUCCUUUCGUUAUUAUAGCCAUGCCCAAAGUUUGUGUUUUCUUUUUCAGUCUUCACUUUGGCUUCCUGGUAAAAAUGAAAACAAAACGAUUGGAGCAUUCACGACUAAAAUGACAGAUUGUACACAAACAACCACAGUCACCAAGACUAGCAUUACUCUGCACCAAAAGGUGUCCAUUUACAAAGUUUUCUGAUGAAUUUUUGUUUUUACAUUUCAUGAAGUACUGUUUGGUAUUUAUAAUCCAAGAUUCGUUUCGUCUCAAACACGUGAUUGCAGGGAGCUAGUGAUAUGCACGUUUGCGUACUGGAAUGUAGAAGCUGGAAAGGAGAAAACGACUCCUCAAACCGGGGAGUUUUACUUGAUCUCAUCAACGAAGCGAGAGUGGGGGAAAGGACCCACCCGGAGGGAAGGAUUCUGGUUCUGUCGAGUGAUGGGGCCAAGCGAUGUGGAUAAUUCUUGGUUGUAUUCAAUGCUAUGGAACAACUUACCAUGGACACAGAGGAAUAAUAUCAGUGUUGUUACGAGGCCAUUGCUGAUCAUCUCCAAAAUGACACAGUGUACGCGAAUUACCGAGGACCAGUCAAAGAGACUGUAAUAUCAAACACAAUGAAUUACAUCAACCAGCUUUCUUCCUAAUAACAAUGGAAACACAUUGAAGAUUUUUUUUCAAUCACUGGAGACCAGUAUUAUAUAUGUACUGGUAUUAUUAACUCACACACUUCACGUAUUGUAUUUGCUUGUCUCUUAUUAACUAUUCUUCCGCUUCUUGUUCUUCUGCCUUAAAAAGCUAGCAACCGGUGUCGUAACCAGUAGAUGAAAGUAUUAGAAACUCAAGGAUGUGAUCAGGCAAUAUAUCUAGUUUUGUAGAAAUGUUUUUGUUUUCAGAUUAAAUGGGGUUAGUUAUAUUUUGGGGGUGGGUCCAACAUAGAACUAUGUGUGAAAAAAUUAGUUCCAAAAUUCAACAGAUAUAACUUGAAAAAAUAUGAUAGCGUCCUGGGAUCUUCGGAAAUGAGAAGAAGAUGCCAGGGCAUACAAACUAGUAUCAAGGUCAAGGGACCCCAGUGACCUUGACCUCUGACCAUGAAUAUAAAACCUGGUAUAACUUUGCAACCAAUAUUGAUAGAGACAUGGGAUCUCUCAUAUAUGAAAAGUCUAAUAGGCAACAAACUAACAUCAAGGUCAAAGUACUCAUAUGACCUUCACCUUGAUCAUAAAACGCAUUACAUUAUGGGACCAAUAGAAACAUGCAAUCGAUAGAGAUUUGAUACUGAAAUGGAGCUGAGUCGAAUCACACCGUUCCCACGACAAAACCAGUAUUCAACGUCUCCUCCAAUACAAUGCAGCAUACACAUGCACAUCCAGUCACCGCUUGUUCUCUUCCUUUAUAUCUCAUUCAGCUUUUGAAAAGCAUUGUACCUUUAAUUUGGCGUCUGAUCCGUUUAAUUCCGCACAGUAACUCUACCUGACCUAAUCACACUCCGUUAGCCAUUUUUGUUGCUGUUUACAUUCUUACUUUCAUGUAUUCCUACGCGCCAUUUCAUACAAGUUGAUUAAAGCUUGUGUAUGAGAGAAA
Ostrea edulis (European flat oyster) is the source of this 5202-nucleotide long non-coding RNA. RefSeq lists it as uncharacterized. NCBI's taxonomy places the organism in Eukaryota, Metazoa, Mollusca, Bivalvia, Ostreida, Ostreidae. The transcript is spliced from 5 exons. The record is from RefSeq and is a predicted model, not a curated record.